This 250-nucleotide ribosomal RNA is filed under the name uncultured prokaryote. Its description in RNAcentral is "partial 16S ribosomal RNA". It matches the Rfam family "Bacterial small subunit ribosomal RNA", at positions 524 to 774 of the family's 1533-position model. The record is from RNAcentral.
UACGUAGGUCACGAGCGUUAUCCGGAAUUAUUGGGCGUAAAGAGUGAGCAGGCGGCAUGGUAAGUCUGGAGUGAAAGCGUGGGGCUUAACCCCAUAAAGCUCUGGAAACUGCCAAGCUAGAGUACAGCAGAGGUGAACAGAACUCCUUGUGUAGCGGUGAAAUGCGUAGAUAUAAGGAAGAAUACCAGUGGCGAAGGCGGUUCACCAGGCUGAUACUGACGCUCAGUCACGAAAGCGUGGGGAGCAAAUA